Polypterus senegalus (gray bichir) is the source of this 132-nucleotide small nucleolar RNA. RefSeq annotates it as small nucleolar RNA SNORA3/SNORA45 family. The record is from RefSeq and is a predicted model, not a curated record. The transcript has a single exon. Lineage: Eukaryota; Metazoa; Chordata; Cladistia; Polypteriformes; Polypteridae.
UGCGAGACUUAGAGUCACAUCUUGAUAUUUUCUGUUGUCCUGGUGUGCUAUAGUUCUCGCAAAUUAAUGCUCUGUGCUUAUUCAUUGACUGUGCCAACACUUGCCCAGUCAAUCUCCAGCUCAGAGACAGUU